Molecule: ribosomal RNA, 422 nt
Filed under: uncultured Pedobacter sp.
Lineage: Bacteria; Pseudomonadati; Bacteroidota; Sphingobacteriia; Sphingobacteriales; Sphingobacteriaceae
Description: bacterial SSU rRNA
Rfam family: Bacterial small subunit ribosomal RNA
Source: RNAcentral
UAAGGAAUAUUGGUCAAUGGGGGCAACCCUGAACCAGCCAUGCCGCGUGCAGGAAGACAGCCCUACGGGUCGUAAACUGCUUUUGUACGGGAACAAACCCCUUCUCGUGAGGAGGGCUGAGCGUACCGUAAGAAUAAGGAUCGGCUAACUCCGUGCCAGCAGCCGCGGUAAUACGGAGGAUCCGAGCGUUAUCCGGAUUUAUUGGGUUUAAAGGGAGCGUAGGCGGCCCGUUAAGUCAGGGGUGAAAGACGGUGGCUCAACCAUCGCAGUGCCUUUGAUACUGACGGGCUUGAAUACACCUGAGGUAGGCGGAAUGUGGCAAGUAGCGGUGAAAUGCAUAGAUAUGCCACAGAACACCGAUUGCGAAGGCAGCUUACUAAAGUGUGAUUGACGCUGAGGCUCGAAAGCGUGGGGAUCAAACA